This 465-nucleotide ribosomal RNA is filed under the name uncultured bacterium. Its description in RNAcentral is "partial 16S ribosomal RNA". It matches the Rfam family "Bacterial small subunit ribosomal RNA", at positions 338 to 795 of the family's 1533-position model. The record is from RNAcentral.
CCUACGGGUGGCAGCAGUGGGGAAUAUUGCGCAAUGGGCGAAAGCCUGACGCAGCGACGCCGCGUGAGGGAUGAAGGUCUUCGGAUCGUAAACCUCUGUCAGCAGGGAAGAACGGUCACUGUGCUAAUCAGCAGUGAAUUGACGGUACCUGCAAAGGAAGCACCGGCUAACUCCGUGCCAGCAGCCGCGGUAAUACGGAGGGUGCGAGCGUUAAUCGGAAUUACUGGGCGUAAAGCGAUCGUAGGCGGUAUGUCAAGUCAAGGGUGAAAUCCCCGCGCUCAACGUGGGAACUGCCUUUGAAACUGGCAAACUGGAGUGUGUGAGAGGAUAGUGGAAUGCCAGGUGUAGGAGUGAAAUCCGUAGAUAUCGGGAGGAACAUCAGUGGCGAAGGCGACUAUCUGGAACAUAACUGACGCUGAGGAGCGAAAGCGUGGGUAGCAAACAGGAUUAGAUACCCCAGUAGUC